ACACUGAUGGUGAAACGGUAUCAUGCUUGCCUUCCAUAUGGGUUUCGAAAUGUUUGAGAAAGCAAGCGGCGUGGGUUCGACUCCCGCUCAGUGUA
Molecule: non-coding RNA, 95 nt
Organism: Lentinus tigrinus ALCF2SS1-7
Lineage: Eukaryota; Fungi; Basidiomycota; Agaricomycetes; Polyporales; Polyporaceae
Source: the annotation of a GenBank genome assembly